CUGAAAUCUUUCAAGAUAUCAAGAUUUUGAAACACUAUAAAAGCCCAAAUGCAGCCCAAAAGAAUAUUCAUUAUAUCUUUUAACAUGAAGUUUGUUUGCGUCGUCGUCGUUGUCACUGCCCUUGUUUGCUUACUAGGAGUUGAACUCGUAGCUAGUUCUCCUGUUGCUUCAGGAAUUAGUCCAAAUUGUGGUACCAUGAUGUGCACAGCGAUUAGCCUUCCAGUUUGUGGAAUUCUCAAUGGAGAAGAAAGAUCAUUCCCAAAUCAAUGUGAGAUGGACAAUCACAAUGAUUGCCAACCUACAGAAUUGAAAUAUCAACCUUGUUAAUCAUAACUCCAUUCUUUUUUUUUAAAAAGAAAAUAUAUAUAAAUACAAGAAAUACCUAAUAAAAUGCUUUAAAUUAAUCGCAAAA
Molecule: long non-coding RNA, 412 nt
Organism: Eupeodes corollae
Lineage: Eukaryota; Metazoa; Arthropoda; Insecta; Diptera; Syrphidae
Exons: 2
Source: RefSeq, a predicted model, not a curated record